CAACUCUCUGCCCUUAGCUGAGGCACUAGACCUCAUUGAUGUCAUUUAUGUUUCAGUGGUGUUGGAUUUGAUUGGGUGGAAUUGUGUACUUGGAAAUUUCCUCAUAUUUGAAAAAUGCUGUAUGUAAAAAUAUCACUGGUCUAAAACUAAACUUUUAUGGUACAACUGACAAGUUGACACCACUUUCAAUCCCUUUCUGGAGCAUCUCAAUCGCACAUAUGGGAGAGUAUAACGUGACUGUUUAUGUACUUCAGAAAGAUUGAACUAACCAUCCUUUUUCAAUGGAAACAGGAAGUUGGUCUACCAAAACCCCCUAUACUCUCCUUCACCCCAAGUUGCUCGUAACACAUUCAGACAAUGAGACGUCAGAAACAUCUACGUCGAAGGCUCUUCUGAGAAAGGUGACAAAUAGGAGGCCUGUGAUUGGCUGGAGUUGUUUUUACAUGUGGUUGCGUUUAUGUCCAAGGUAUUGUGAUAAUGUAGACAGGCAUUUUCCACUGAGGUGGACCAAUCAGAUCUCGACACAAACAUCCGCUUCAAAGGCCCUCACCAUCGUCAGCUCCCCCAGCGCCAGUCUCUGAGAUGGAGAGAUCAAGAGCUAUUCUCAUCGCUCUCGUCUGUGCUUUGUUCUCCAGGAUCUCUGGAGCAGAAGUGGAGAUGAGGGUCAGACCAGGAGACGACGUGACUCUCUACAGCGACUGUAUUUGGAAGAGUGGAUUUAGUAUAGUUUGGUUUAGAAACUCCUCAUGUGAGCAUCAACCUCCUCUCAUGAUAUCAACUCCAGAUUUGAUACGUGGUGCUGAUCCACGUUACUCUGCUGUGUGGAAUCCCUCCAACAAAACUCAUGAUCUGCUGGUGAAGAACGUCUCUGAUUCAGAUGUGGGUCUCUACUUCUGCGCUAUGUAUGAGAAAAACAUCACCAAAGACGAAAAGGGAGUUUUACACCCUGUAGAUAUUUAUCACUACGGGAAAAGAACCACUCGACUCUCUCUCCUUGGUCCUUGUACUGAUCUCCCCCAGACCCCCUCAACCCCUCCUGUCUCAGACUGCAGCGUCUGCUGGAAGCUGCUGGUCAGUGUGUGUCCUGUGUGUGUUCUCCUCUCCUCCACCUGUCUGUACUGCAUCUACAGACACACAAAGAAAGCAGAAGCAGAACCUGGUCAAGAACGGAUGAACAAAACCCAGAGGCGGAAAAGUAGAACAACUGAUGAGGUUGAAGGAGAUGAGGUUUGUUAUGCUUCGUUGGAUCUCCCGAGCAGAGGACAGAAGCAUCUGAAGAAGAAGAAGAAGAAGAAGAAGAGAGUUGAGAGCUCUGAUUUCAGCACCUAUUCUGUAGUUAAAACUGAUAACAUAUGAAAAAUGUACCACAGUACUGUAAUAACUGGCACAUGGAAGGUAAAUGUCCAUUUAGUCUUAGAGAGGAUGUUCAACAUGCAUAAAGUAAAAUGUACUUUUAUUUAUGUAAAAUGAACUAGGAUGCAUCAUUUACUCAAAGACGAGACAAUUCAUUUAAGUUUGCAACUUUUUUUGGCACAAAAUGUAAAUUAAAAAUAAAAAAGCAUGCAUUUCACUGCAUUGCUCUUAAAAUAGGAUUGAGA
Pygocentrus nattereri (red-bellied piranha) is the source of this 1598-nucleotide long non-coding RNA. Lineage: Eukaryota; Metazoa; Chordata; Actinopteri; Characiformes; Serrasalmidae. The record is from Ensembl.